AUGGACACCAAAUUCAUGAUAACUGGAACUCCGGUGGAACACUGGGCUUUGAUGCUCUUGCAUCGCGCCCGGCAGCUCCCAUCCCGCUCUCUCCGCACCGUGGCCUCCGAGUCCGAGCUCGCCUGCAUCUACUCAGCCCUCAUCCUGCGUGAGGACGAUGUGACUGUCACGGAGGAUAAGAUCAACGCUCUCAUUAAGGCCACAGGUGUGACUGUGGAGGCUUUCUGGCCUGGCUGGUUUGCAAAGGCCCUGGCCAACGUCAACAUUGACAGCCUCAUCUGCUCUGUGGGGGCUGCCCCAAACACUACUGCGGCCCCAGCAGAGGAGAAGAAUGUGGAAGCAAAGAAGGAAGAAUCUGAGGAGUCUGAUGAUGACAUGGGCUUUGGUCUGUUAGACUAAACCUUUUAUAAUAUGUUCAAUAAACAGCUGAACUCUGGAAAAAAAAAAAAAA
This is an RNA transcript of Carlito syrichta (Philippine tarsier), 451 nucleotides long. It is a transcript of the gene named 60S acidic ribosomal protein P1 pseudogene, with no coding region annotated. The transcript is spliced from 2 exons. The record is from RefSeq and is a predicted model, not a curated record. Lineage: Eukaryota; Metazoa; Chordata; Mammalia; Primates; Tarsiidae.